ACCAAAUCUAUCUUACAAAGACAAACGGUUUUUGUCUAAUCGGACGGCCAUACGUGGGCCUUUUUCAGAGAUCGACGGCUGCAAUUGCUUUUAAAAUGGGGAAGGUAAAUCGUGGCUCAGAACUAACCCCCGUUAUAAGCCCCAUCCGACGUCUGUGAUCUCUUUUUGCCGGAAAUCAGAAUUUCCUUCGCCUUCUCCUCUUAUUGUUCUUCCGUUACAGAAACAUAACACCACCAUUCAAUCUCUUUGAAUCAUACGUUAUGAAAACACCAUUAUGUUUCUUUACCAAUCCCUACAAAUAUUCGACUACAUAAACUCCUAAAAAAGUUAUCCUGCGGAGAUUCUCAAUGCUUACCAAUCCCCUUUUUCCUAUCAAGAUUCAUAUUUUGGAGCACCACGGAUUUAUAGUUCAGAGUGAGGUAUCAAUCUCGGGUAAAUGUCAAUUGAAUUCCAUUCCAUUCCGUUUGAAUUGAAUUAUUAAACUUAGCAACUAUUUAGUCACAUCAACUGUUUGUUAUAAUGCAUAUUCAUUUUUGAAUGAUGGGAACCCAUUUUAAUAAAAAAUGAAUGGUCACAUACCAAGGUAAUAAUGCUUACCAGUCCCCUUUUUCCUAUCAUCAGCUAAACUUAUGAUGAUAUAGGAAUCCAUUUUCAUAAGGAUCUUCAGACUCAUUCUUUUUUAGCAUUUUUAUAACUUACUCAUUUACUGAAUUUAAAUUCCGAACCUUUCCCUGCUAUUUAAAUGUUAAUGUGUUGGGGUUUUGUUUUAAAUGAUGUCUAUUACAGACUCUCAGAUCAUCUCUUUAUGAUGGGGAUUAUGUAGAGGCUUUUAGUCAGCCAAAGAUCCUAAUGAGAAAAAUUGCAUUGUAGAGGGCUUCUUUGUUUUUAAUCUAAGCAAGCUGAAAACCGCGUUAAAAUCAAUAAUUUGGGUACAAGCCAUAUCACAACAUUAUUAGGAUGAAGCUGGCCCAGGUCAAGCUCAAGUGUUUUAUUUCUUACCAAUCCCCAAAAUUACCUUUUGGUGUAAUAAUUGGGUGAUACCUUAGGCAACAGAGCCAUCUGAAAACGCAAUAACACAGAUCAAAACCAACUUUAGCAUCAAACACAUAUGAUUUUUUUUUAAAGUAAUAUGAACCUGGAUUCCCUAGGUGAUUUGCUUUUAUUAAAACCAACUUUGCUGCCAAAUGUGUCUUUCCCAAUCCGAUAGCUCUACAUGGACUUCAACCGUGUUCAGCUCUUAUUCCUCUCAAAGAGCAAAAGAUAAAUCGUGCCUGGCAAUGCACCCCCGUUUUAAGCCUUAAUCUGACGUCCCUAAAUCUCCCAUUGAAUGGUAUUAACAUCACCAUUAUUUCGAAUUGGUAUUUCCGUUUUUGUUUUUGAUCAGACAUUCUUUGGGUCUUCUUUUUAUUAAUUUCCAACCAGAUUGAUUAAUGUGCAUUUUCUUCUAGAAUAUUAAGAAAACCAGAAAAGAGAAUAACAUUUUCAUAGUGAUCAAAUGUGGUUUUUAACAUCUCCAAUUUGAGGAUGUACAGAUCAACAUCAACAACAAGGAAAAAUACUGCCACUGCAGUUGAUGGAUUAGCAAGGUUCAUGGACCUGAAAUAAAUCCUAGAGCGAUUAAAAUUGCAACAAUAAUUGUGCCUCAUUUUAAAUUAAAUUAAGCAAGUGCAUUAGCUUUAGGCCUGUAAUCUUAACAUUGUUUAAAUCUUUCAGCAGAAAGUUCCAUGUUUCAAUAUGCCAGUAAUCAAGCCAUAGUUGUUAUCAAUUGUUGGAUGUAAGAUGAGGUAUUUGCGUAAUUACUGUCAUUUGUGGUUGUUCUUCUUCAACUAUUAUCAAUUGCUUGAUUCAUAUCAUUUUUAGUUGUUCUUCUAACUGUUAUCUGUUGUGCCUCACUUAACUGAAAAAAGGUAUCAUUAUCAGCCACGCAGGACCGCUCCAACUGUUUUCGACCCAUUGGUGAAUCGAAAAUCCUUCCCCAUCACAUGUUGAGUUACCAAGAAAUCUGAAGAGUUUAGAUGUUACUAUUUUUCCUGGAUGAAGGAGUAUGCAAGGAAUUGGGUCCUCGCCAAUAUCUUUCACUGCCUGCACAAUUUUAGAUCUUUUGUAUCUCUAAAUGCUCGGCUAUGUAUACAAGACGAAAAAUUGCAUGACAUCAUUCCCAAAAUUCAAAACUAACUAAAAUCGAGUAAUGAAGUUGUCUAUAGAACCUGUUAAUAUGCAUGUAAUAAGUGUUACAAUACUUUGUUACUGUAAGACAGAUCUUAUAAGCUAAGCGAAGCAGGGUCGAAGAUAAACUGAAGACUGGUAUUCAAACUGUUGGGACAACCAGUUCUUGCUUUGGCAUUAGACCAAGCUUGGACUAAAGGCGCUGCUAGCCCUACAAGUGCCACAAGCUCUAGCUUGGUAGUUAUUUGUACAACAGGAGUUAAGAUAGUGGAGAUUGGAGAAUGCUUCUGAGUUGUUCUGGAAAUUAAGCAGGUCCUGAAUCACGGCGCUAACAAAAUGAAUUAGCCUGACAUGACGAUACGAAGUUAACUUUUCUGAAUAUAGUUUGAUGUAUCAAAGAGCACUUACUAUACAUCCAAUUAACAUUUUUACGGAGUGCGAGAAACUAAUUCGUUAGUAGCAAGUUAUAUGAUCAUUUUGAUUU
Molecule: long non-coding RNA, 2650 nt
Organism: Papaver somniferum (opium poppy)
Lineage: Eukaryota; Viridiplantae; Streptophyta; Magnoliopsida; Ranunculales; Papaveraceae
Exons: 4
Source: RefSeq, a predicted model, not a curated record